AUUUUUGGAUAAUCGCGUGGUAGUCAUUACCAUGAGGAAAGUCCAUGCUAGCACUGGCUGUGAUGCCGGUAGUGUUUGUGCUAGGCGAAUGCAUAAGCCUAGGGACGUCUCAGACGUUACGGCAGCUAAAAUGGCUAAGUCUUCGGAUAUGCCAAAGUAGGCUUGAAAGUGCCACAGUGACGAAGUUUUUAUGGAAACGUAAAAAAUGGAACGCGGUAAACCCCUCAAGCUAGCAACCCAAACUUUGGUCGGGGCAUGGGACGGAUGGAAACGAACAGAAGUCCUGACUGUUUUUUGAAAACGGUAGACAGAUGAUUAUCGAAAGCGAUAGUGCCUAGUAUCGCUGGAACAAAACAUGGCUUAUAGAA
RNAcentral lists this RNase P RNA (368 nucleotides) under Streptococcus suis. RNAcentral describes it as "RNase P RNA component class B". It matches the Rfam family "Bacterial RNase P class B". Rfam says of the family: Ribonuclease P (RNase P) is a ubiquitous endoribonuclease, found in archaea, bacteria and eukarya as well as chloroplasts and mitochondria. Its best characterised activity is the generation of mature 5'-ends of tRNAs by cleaving the 5'-leader elements of precursor-tRNAs. The record is from RNAcentral. Lineage: Bacteria; Bacillati; Bacillota; Bacilli; Lactobacillales; Streptococcaceae.